GAAGCUCAUUUUUGAACUUCACUUUCUUUACUCCUUUGAACUCUCAGCACUUUGUUCAAGCUACAAUAUUCAUUCUAGCCUUACUUUAAUUGUUUCUAAGCUUGACAUCGAAGAUCACUAACCGAUGUUGGCUCGUUAAAGCCUAUUCCGGAAUGACCUUGCAAUCCUUGUAUAGAGCUCUAUUUGUCUUCCGGGUUAAGAGGAAGUCAAUUUGAUUUUUAUGUUGCCCACUUUUGAAAG
Molecule: unclassified non-coding RNA, 240 nt
Filed under: Hevea brasiliensis (rubber tree)
Lineage: Eukaryota; Viridiplantae; Streptophyta; Magnoliopsida; Malpighiales; Euphorbiaceae
Source: RNAcentral